UGCCGCGUGGGGGAUGAUCCAGUUAUCUUGAUGAGAUAGAGCUCGAGUAUUGCUUCGGUGUUUGU
RNAcentral lists this transfer RNA (65 nucleotides) under Mytilisepta virgata. RNAcentral's name for it is "tRNA-Ile". Lineage: Eukaryota; Metazoa; Mollusca; Bivalvia; Mytilida; Mytilidae. The record is from RNAcentral.